AAAUGGAGUCUUCGGCAUUGAUUAAGAAAGAGGAUGAUGUUGAAAGCGCAAAAAUAUGUAGACGGUGUAUGUCGACUGGUGAUGCUUUGGAAGCUCUAACGCGCGACGAAUCCGGACAGUUUACCGGUCUGCAGAUUAAGUUCGAACCUGGAAUUCCGUCGCAUUUGUGCACGAUGUGUGGAUCGCGUUUGAAAAACCAUCUUGACCACUCCGCCGAACAAAUGGAUGGCACGG
Long non-coding RNA from Anopheles cruzii, 234 nucleotides. RefSeq lists it as uncharacterized. The transcript is spliced from 3 exons. NCBI's taxonomy places the organism in Eukaryota, Metazoa, Arthropoda, Insecta, Diptera, Culicidae. The record is from RefSeq and is a predicted model, not a curated record.